GCCCUCACAGCGCCCCGCCCCCUCUGACCCCGACCUUCCUCCCCGCGCCGCAGGCCGAGCGCCGGCUGCACCCGAGCACCCGAGCGAGGCCGGCGGGGAGCGGCCGCGCAGCCGCCAGGAGGGGGCGCCCAGCUGCCCUGAGCCGGGGCCGGGAGGCGCUGGGAGGCGCUGGGAGGCGCUGGGAGGCGGGCUCUGCCCAGAGGCUGUGCGGGCCGGAAGGGCGCCCCCUCCUGCCACAGAGCGACGGACGCUUCUCCGAGUGCCCGCGUAGACGGCCUGAGACCCGCGGGCUGUGGCCUUUCCCGUACAGGCCGGGCGGGCGCCCCCUGACGUGCCGGAAAUCGAAAAAGAUGGUGAAGGGUCGGGCCAAUAAAUUAGCCUCAGGGAUGGAGAUGCAGACAGACGGAUGGGGUUGUAUGGAUACAGAUACACAAGGAAAACCAAAGCUAUUCAGUCUCCUCAUUUGUCCAGCAGCCUCACAGUGGUGCCCUUUCUCUGCUGCUGCUUUCCCUGCUUCGGGAGCAGCAGUUAUGGUAGAAGCAGAUGGCUACUGAUUGGGGGAGCUUUGUGGCUCUAAUACUGAAUACUUUAUGGAAAAGGACUUUAUCAUGCUUCGCUGGGCAGAGGAACAAGGGGGUGAGAUUUAUGGCCAGGAAAAAUAAAUCUUUUCCAAGUUGUGGCUCC
This 684-nucleotide long non-coding RNA is filed under the name Canis lupus dingo (dingo). RNAcentral describes it as "lncRNA (ENSCAFG00020010818.1)". Lineage: Eukaryota; Metazoa; Chordata; Mammalia; Carnivora; Canidae. The record is from RNAcentral.